GCCUACGGGGGGCAGCAGUGAGGAAUAUUGGUCAAUGGGCGCAAGCCUGAACCAGCCAAGUCGCGUGAGGGAUGACGGUCCUAUGGAUUGUAAACCUCUUUUGUCGGGGAGCAAGGCCCGCCACGUGUGGCGGGAAGGAGAGUACCCGAAGAAAAAGCAUCGGCUAACUCCGUGCCAGCAGCCGCGGUAAUACGGAGGAUGCGAGCGUUAUCCGGAUUUAUUGGGUUUAAAGGGUGCGUAGGCGGAAGGUUAAGUCAGCGGUCAAAUGUCGGGGCUCAACACCGGCCCGCCGUUGAAACUGGUCU
RNAcentral lists this ribosomal RNA (305 nucleotides) under uncultured bacterium. RNAcentral describes it as "bacterial SSU rRNA". It matches the Rfam family "Bacterial small subunit ribosomal RNA", at positions 337 to 639 of the family's 1533-position model. The record is from RNAcentral.